GAUGAACGCUGGCGGCGUGCCUAAUACAUGCAAGUCGAGCGAACAGACGAGGAGCUUGCUCCUCUGACGUUGGCGGCGGACGGGUGAGUAACACGUGGAUAACCUACCUAUAAGACUGGGAUAACUUCGGGAAACCGGAGCUAAUACCGGAUAAUAUAUUGAACCGCAUGGUUCAAUAGUGAAAGACGGUUUUGCUGCCACUUAUAGAUGGAUCCGCGCCGCAUUAGCUAGUUGGUAAGGUAACGGCUUACCAAGGCAACGAUGCGUAGCCGACCUGAGAGGGUGAUCGGCCACACUGGAACUGAGACACGGUCCAGACUCCUACGGGAGGCAGCAGUAGGGAAUCUUCCGCAAUGGGCGAAAGCCUGACGGAGCAACGCCGCGUGAGUGAUGAAGGUCUUCGGAUCGUAAAACUCUGUUAUUAGGGAAGAACAAAUGUGUAAGUAACUACGCACGUCUUGACGGUACCUAAUCAGAAAGCCACGGCUAACUACGUG
This 497-nucleotide ribosomal RNA is filed under the name uncultured bacterium. RNAcentral's name for it is "partial 16S ribosomal RNA". It matches the Rfam family "Bacterial small subunit ribosomal RNA", at positions 28 to 507 of the family's 1533-position model. The record is from RNAcentral.